Molecule: ribosomal RNA, 253 nt
Filed under: uncultured bacterium
Lineage: Bacteria
Description: partial 16S ribosomal RNA
Rfam family: Bacterial small subunit ribosomal RNA
Source: RNAcentral
UACGUAGGGGGCAAGCGUUGUCCGGAAUCAUUGGGCGUAAAGAGCGUGUAGGCGGCCAGAAAAGUCCGCUGUGAAAACUCGAGGCUCAACUUCGAGCUGUCGGUGGAAACUUUCUGGCUAGAGUCCGGAAGAGGAGAAUGGAAUUCCUGGUGUAGCGGUGAGAUGCGCAGAUAUCAGGAAGAACACCCGUGGCGAAGGCGGUUCUCUGGGACGGUACUGACGCUGAGACGCGAAAGCAUGGGGAGCGAACAGG